GAAAAAAAAAAUAGAAAACAUCAAAAUGAUGCUCUAAAAAUUCUGACUUUCAAAAAACAAAAAACUAAAAAAAAAAAAUCUCUCACUCUGUCGAUUACAAAAAAAUAAAGAGAGAACUCAGUCCAUAACAAUGGAGGUUGAGCUCUUUCGUAUUGGUGAUUCUUCUUUAUUCAACCUCAUAUUUGUUGUUUUGUCAAAGUUUCACUCUAUAAUUAGAUUUAGGAGCCCUUGGUAACUAUUCUUGUUCCCCUUUUCUUCUACCAGAUUUUGACAUCCUAUUAUUUGACUAUCCGAAGGCAGUAGAUAUUGUGGGUGGUAGUCAGCGAUGAUGAUGAUGCACUUGAGUUGAAAGAUCAACUUGCUGCCUACAAUCUUGACUCAUCUCACUAGCAGGUCUACCACCAAAGUCGACAUCACAUUCAUAGCCUUAUUAAAUGCUCUUUCAGAUUUGGUAGCAUAGUAUGAUACCAAAUUUGUUUGUGUGUUUAUUCCAUCGUACCUUGUAUUUUGAACAACAUUGGGAUGUGGGCAUCUUGUCUCUUUACCAAGUGAUUUAGGAUCAAUGUAUUUUGCAUCUUUCAGCCAACGAGAAUUGACAAGACAAAGUGGAAAAUUAGCUUUGUGUGAAUGCUUCAUGGAUGCAAAAAUUUGUCUACAUGGUAUUCCUUUGGUGUCAACCCAACAACAAUCACAUCUAAUGUCUUCCUCAUCAUGAGAAUAAAUAGCCUUACGCUUAGGAUUAGGACUCAUAUACUUUGACACUAGAUAUAAAUCAUAAUUAGGUAAGUUCUUAGACUUUGAAAUAACAUACUUAUC
Long non-coding RNA from Humulus lupulus (European hop), 816 nucleotides. RefSeq lists it as uncharacterized. The record is from RefSeq and is a predicted model, not a curated record. The transcript is spliced from 4 exons. Lineage: Eukaryota; Viridiplantae; Streptophyta; Magnoliopsida; Rosales; Cannabaceae.